This 429-nucleotide ribosomal RNA is filed under the name Bacillota bacterium. RNAcentral's name for it is "Firmicutes bacterium partial 16S ribosomal RNA". It matches the Rfam family "Bacterial small subunit ribosomal RNA", at positions 355 to 776 of the family's 1533-position model. The record is from RNAcentral. Lineage: Bacteria; Bacillati; Bacillota.
UAGGGAAUCUUUCGCAAUGGGCGAAAGCCUGACGGAGCAACGCCGCGUGAGUGAUGAAGGGUUUCGGCUCGUAAAACUCUGUUAUUAGGGAAGAACAAAUGUGUAAGUAACUGUGCACAUCUUGACGGUACCUAAUCAGAAAGCCACGGCUAACUACGUGCCAGCAGCCGCGGUAAUACGUAGGUGGCAAGCGUUAUCCGGAAUUAUUGGGCGUAAAGCGCGCGUAGGCGGUUUCUUAAGUCUGAUGUGAAAGCCCACGGCUCAACCGUGGAGGGUCAUUGGAAACUGGGAAACUUGAGUGCAGAAGAGGAAAGUGGAAUUCCAUGUGUAGCGGUGAAAUGCGCAGAGAUAUGGAGGAACACCAGUGGCGAAGGCGACUUUCUGGUCUGUAACUGACGCUGAUGUGCGAAAGCGUGGGGAUCAAACAGG